UAAGAAAGAAAAUUCACUUACAUGUACGUGAAUCCACGCAUGCGCAUUACAGUAAAUGACUUGGCCAGCCUGCAGAAGAUAAAACCUGCUGCCUGCUGUGGAGGUCUGAUCAUUAAGCUGAGGACGUGAUAACCCACCAUGCUGCUAUUAUGUCCAAAUAUAUACUAGGGAUGUAUAGCAAUUUAAAAAUAGUAGCUAGAUUUUGCCACCUUGGAUGGCACCAGUGGGUGAAUUUUGGGGUCCAGGCCCAUGGACUACUUGUCUGCUUUGUCAGUCUUAUUUUCAGUUGAUUGCAAAAUCAGUGCUUCCGAGUCUGACCAUGGAGCUAAGCAUACAGUAUUCAGACCUUUGUUUAUCAUACUCACUAUGUGUACAUAUGUACAGUGUACAUACAUGUAUGUGUGUACCUUUCUAGUGAGGAUGCUAACUGAAGACUCUGGUUGUUCCCAACUGGUGCUUUGUUGAUCGAACCAGUCCCACAUACGCAUGUCAUUGUCCCUUCCCCCUGUAUUUACUCACACAACUGUCUGCCUGAUCACCACUCUCUCCCUCAGGCCACUUGUACAAUUUAUUUUCAGAAGCCAGGGAGUUCAUGGUUAAUGAAUUUCUGCUAUUAUUCUUGGGCUGUCCGCAAUCACACCCUGAAGGAUACAAGUAUGCCUGGGUUGCUGGGUCUGGAUGAAUGACGGGCUACUGUCCUCUGACCUGUGCUAAGAACCUCCCGUGUUGAUUCAGGGCUGGCUGUGGCAAGAGGUGAUAGAAUUCAGGAGGAGCACAUAGGGACCCACUUGUUCUACCCUUGCUUCUGGGGUACCUCUGUUUGCACUUGAUGAAGUUACAGUAACAAUGUAUGGAUUUUGGAAAAGGUUAGGUGUACUGAUGCAGAGUACAUGGAAGUUGAAUAACGAGAAAGACAAAGAGCGAGACAUGCCAUUACGGACAUCCUUUGAGUUGCGUUUCCCUGAGUCAUCUUGGGAGGAUGCAGUCAAGUUCUUUGGUGGAGGUUCAUCAUGACAUUAACUCCUCCACAUUGGUUCAAGUGGCUUUCAAGGUUUGUUGAAGAAACCGGAACAAAAUCAAAUCGCUACAGCGGCCAAUUUCACAAAAAGCUGUGACACAUCUUACUGGUUUCAAAGUAUUAAAGAGUGCGACACAUUCUGCAACAGGUUUUGACAUUCUUGACCAUGCAGUGUGUAUGUAUGUGUACAGGUGGGCGGGCCAUCACCGCGUUGGGGGGAAGUUUUUAUUGUAAGGCAAAUUAGGACCGAGUUAUGGGGACUUUCUGCUGUCCCCACAGUGUCUUCGGUCCCCAUAGUACCAUGGGACAACUCGUAUGUAGUCCCUACAACUAUGGAACAAGUAUGUGUGCGCAUGCUGCACACAUACACACAGACCAAGCGAAACCCAGACUUGGUCAAGUCUAGUGAAAACCAUAUUCUUUCAUUCUUGAAAUAGAGUGAUGAUUUGGGUUUUCAAAAAGGUGUCAAUGGUAUUUUGUGUGCUGUACUGCAUGUAAGAAAUAUUGGCCGCCAUUUUUUUUAACUUGAAGCUCACAUUGAUUGUUUACAUCCGUACAUUUGUUUUUACAUGUUUUAUUAAGUGAUUAAAAACAAACAUGAUACAUCCAUAAAAAGGGUAAUUUUAUUCUUGUCUAAGAAUAAUCAUUCCUGAAACUGUAUUUAUAAUAUAGCAUGUUGAUUAAAGGUCAAUUAGCAAUUUUGUGCAACUUCACUGGUCAGCUCUUUUGUUGUGUGUAGUAUGUGUGGGACUGAAAAUGGACCGUAAUUGCCUGCUGAAGUGUCGCAAGUGCACUAUUUUCCCCCAUUUUUUUUUUUGGGGGGGGGGAAUUUUAGGAAUUGGCCUAGACGUUGUUACUGACGGUUCGUGGAUGAUAUUGGUUGGUUGUAAUAACGCCCUCUCGCGGUGGCGGGUUAUCGCAUAUCAAACCAUGACAACGUCUAGCCCCUAGACUAACUGUGCAGUUGUUAAUGAACUAGUCCAGCACCUACAUGUAAUUUCAUGGGAUUAUACAGCAUCCCUCUGCAUGAUAUUGUCAAGAGUUAUGUGUUAUAUCAGCAUGAAUAACACAACUCUUUAUUGCAGCCUGAAAUGGCGUACAAGCCUCACUGACAAUAUCUGGGAAAACUUGUUACCCUUUUAACAUGAAUUUUAUCGAGUAAUAUGCAUAAAAAUCCCUUUGCAUGCCGCAGUUAUUUGUUUAGGCUAUCUUAUGAGCCUGAAUUGCCUGUGCUCUUCAACAAAUGAGAUUUGUUUUUCUGCUUAACAAAUGUUCAAUUUGUGUGUUUUAUUUUAAAGAAACAAUUUUUCUAUUUUGAGGUAUGUUUUCAUCGGCAUUGGUUAGUUUGUUGGUUGGGUGGUUGGUUGGUCUGUAAACAAGAUAACUCACAAAGUUAUGGAUGGAUUUGCAUGGAAACCUUUUUAGGGGUGGUCCUUGGUACAAAUACAAAUCGAAGUGAUCUGGAUCUGGUUCUGGAUCCAGAUUUCUUGUAAAGGAUUCUUCACCAUUUAUGUUAGUUAGUGUUUCUUUUGGGUAUACUGACAAUAUGGCGGAGAAUUGUUUAGCCUUGGCGGAGGUUCGCGCUCUAGUUUUGAAUUGCUUUUGUACACAAACAAACAGAUCCCUCCUACAAGUAGUCUGGUUCCUACUCCCUACAUUCCUGAUUCUGAUAGGAGGUGGGGGGGGGGGGGCAACCAGUCUACCAGAAUUUAAAACAGGGAUAUCUUUUUUUGGAAGGGGGGUGUGAAACUCAAAUAUUGGACAGAUAUUACAUCUUGACUUCAGUAUAGCAAUGUAUGCAGAAGAGGUCUGCUCAUGCGUAGCCCUGUGGAACAAAGGUAUGCUGUGUAAAGGAUGAUGAUACUUGAUCCAGUAGACCCAAGAAGCAGUCUAUUGAGCAGGUAUCAUGCUUGUAUUAUUGAAAUCAAUCACAGUGUGGAAAAAGCCACCUUGUAAACAAUGCUAAAAUGGUAUGUCACUUUUCACUAGACAUCAAGCUCAGCAGUUUUAUGCAAAAUGGAUGCACUCGUGAUUAGUACAUGUCCAUGUAGCCUGAAAUUGGACGCAUUCUCUUGUGAUAUGUUCUCAUAUCUUUAUGUGGCUUCCCAGUAACUUUCGCAUACCCCAACACUUAAAGGUCCGUCACUUGAAUGUGGCAAACAUUAUGAGUUGUAUGAAUCGGAAAAAUAUCGCUACAGAUGUUGUUUUGUACUAAAGGUAUUAAACUACUUUUUUAUUAGUU
This 3260-nucleotide long non-coding RNA is filed under the name Patiria miniata (bat star). Its description in RNAcentral is "uncharacterized LOC119746285". Lineage: Eukaryota; Metazoa; Echinodermata; Asteroidea; Valvatida; Asterinidae. The record is from RNAcentral.